This is a long non-coding RNA of Peromyscus californicus insignis, 2694 nucleotides long. RefSeq lists it as uncharacterized. The record is from RefSeq and is a predicted model, not a curated record. Lineage: Eukaryota; Metazoa; Chordata; Mammalia; Rodentia; Cricetidae. The transcript has 3 exons.
AUCCUCGAGAGGACGGAGACGUGAGAAAAGAAGGAGCCCCCCAUUGAAGCCACGCUUCCUCUGGGCGGACCCCGGGGGAGGACGGAGGCGGGGAAAGGGAAAAAGGGGAACGCAGCUCAGCCUAGCGGGUGGAGCCGCAGAAACCACCCCGAGCUAGCCGCUAGAAUCCUGGCUGGCACUCGGAAGACAGCGCUGGACAGGAUCUCACUGUAUAGCUAUGGCUGGCCUAGAACUCACUAUACAGCCACACUGGCCUCAAAUUCACAGAGCUCUACCUGCUUCUGCCUCCCAGUUGCUGGUACUAAAGGUCAUUCCCUGAGCUCCAGAUUCUUCUACUAGAUCAAGCAUAGCAUCAUUCAGCUCCCUCAACCUGUCAACAGCAAUGGGACAUGGGCUGGAGACCGGACUCCCUGCAUAUUGCCUGCCAUAGCAGCCGAAGAGUUCUCCUCGGAGAACUCCACUUAAGUGACGUGGGGAUUCUUGACUUUGCUGCAGAAAAGAAUUUCAGGAUAGGCCGGAAUGAAGCAGAGUUGAAGUUUAUUAGGAAGAAAGUUUAACACAGCCUUAAGCAUGAGGUUUAUUAGAGAGAUGUUCAAGGAAUGGAUAAGACACAUGGAGGUGCCGGCAUGGCCUUCUCAGGAGAGAGUCCUGCUUCUGUGUCUUGGCAGUAACCAAUUAUAGGAUUUGGUGGCUCUUAAGUUGUAUCUCUAAGAGUUCCUAAGAAAUUUCUUCUCUCUCUCUCUCUCUCUCUCUCUCUCUCUCUCUCUCUCUCUCUCUCUCUCUCUCUCUGUUUUGAUGAAUCAGUGGGUGAGAGUCUUCAACUACACUCCAGGAUAAAGGGCCCCUUCCUUUUUAUGUCCCUUUACUUUUUUCCUUAUCUUUCUUUCCUGCUUCAAACCCACUUCCAUCUCUGCUGCUAUUAUCUGAGCACAUCAAGAUGCCUAAAUGACAUUAACCUGUGAGGGAGCACAAUGGAAUAGCAGAAACAAGGUUAUCCCAGAAAACAAUCAUCUUUGUUGUUGUUUGUUUUAUGUUUGGGAUUAUGUCUGUGCAUGUUCAUGUGUGUGUGUGUGUGUGUGUGUGUGUGUGUGUGUGUGUGUGUGUAUGCAUACGUGCAUAUGUGUGCACAUGUGUGCAUAUGCCUGUGGAAUGCAGAGGUCAGCCUCAGGUGUCAUUUUCUAUUGCUCUCCACCUUAUUUUUUGAGACAUGGUCUCACACCAAACUUGGAGCUCACCAAUAUGGCUAGACUAGCUGGCUAGCAAACCCAAUAAUCCUCCUAUCUCUGAUCCCCAGAGCUGGAAUUAACAGGCCACUUAGCUAUAAACAUUUUUUAUGUGGGUUUUGGGGACCUGAACUCAGAUCCUCAUGCUUAUAUGGCUCACACUUUGCCAACUGAGACAUCUCCUCAGGCCAAAUUACCAGCUUGGGGGUUUUAUUAUUAUUCUUAUGCUUGGGGGUAUAUUAUGAUGAUGAUGAUGAUGAUGCUUGGGGUAUUAUUAUUAUUAUUGUGAUGAUGCUUGGGGUGUUAUUAUUACUAUACUUUGUUUGUUUAUUUGUUGUAGUAUGUGUGCCCUUGGGGAGAGGGUCCAGAGGGUGGUUGUAGGGGUGUACAGGAAGGGUACCGUGGCACAUCUGUGGAAGUAAACGGACAACGUACAGGGACUGCUUCUUCUAGUGUAGGAGUUCCAAAGAUCAAACUCAGGUCACCAGACUUGGCAGCAAGUGCCCUUACCCACUCACCAGCUCCAUCACUGCUUUACAAAGUGGGUUUUCUCUUCCUCAAAGUGGAUUCUUUAUGCUUCCACACGAUACACAGGGAACGAGCCUGUGGGCCAUACACAGUGUGUUAAAUUUUCCUUCCUCCCUCUCCCUUUCUCUCCUUCCUUCUUUCCUGCCCCAAAGCUGGAGAGGACGUUACAGAAGAGCUGUGUUACUUGUCCAUGCAGAGUGUCUUAUGUAAUCAUGCUUUAAAGUUCUCUACCUUUUUCUUUUGGAGACAGGGUCUCACCAUGUAUGGGCCCCGACUGGCCUCAAACUCCAGAGAUUGACCCACCACAAUGCCCAGAUCCAUACUUAUACUUCUGCCAUGCACACACACCUUAAUUUAGCAAAUUUGAGCCAGACUCUAACUACACCAAGAAUUUAUGAUCCAUGAAGGACGCGCUUAGCAGGAAAGCGUGGGGGAAGCAGCAGAAAAAAAGCUGGACAGUAUCACCCUGUCUCCAAUGCCCUCUGCCUUCAGAGGACUGGGAGUACAAAAGGAGAGAAAGGUCAUUUAUUCCUCUGUCUCUUCCUGCUGGCUGCCUUUGUGUUCCUCCAGUGUGGCCGCAGUUCCCAGUGGCUUAACUCAGCUCACACCCCUAAAAAUAGUUCCUUCACCAAAUCCCAUUCCAUUUCCCUUUUGAGUGUGCUGUCAUUUCCUGCCUGAGAUGUCUGUUUAAUGCACUAGAAAAAUAAUUUUCAAGAAAAUGGAUAGAAAUUAAGAUGAUCAUGCAGCAAUAAAUUACCAUGUGUCAUACUUCUCAUUUACACACCAACUAAAUAAAAGCACCAGAAAACAGCAACAAACCGUAUCGCCAAUCCUAAGAAUUAAGCCAAAGUCAAACAGGAAAUAGGAAAAAGAAUUUGCAAAGGCUGUCAAGUUGGUUUUUGCUGGGAAGCAGCAAGGGUGGUCCCUGGGCUAACAGGUUGAC